Molecule: long non-coding RNA, 1963 nt
Filed under: Canis lupus familiaris (dog)
Lineage: Eukaryota; Metazoa; Chordata; Mammalia; Carnivora; Canidae
Description: lncRNA (ENSCAFG00000055212.1, ENSCAFG00845025356.1)
Source: RNAcentral
CUGUGGACUAAAUUGCAGACAUAUCUUGGAUGCUGGAUGGACCAUCUGGGUCAUAAACACCCAGAUAAAAUGACUUAUUUCUGAUGGGACGAUCUGAAAUUGAACUCCUGCAUUAGCAGCAUAAAUCUGACACAGAGACUGGACUGUGGUCUUAAUUUACAAUUACUACAAAAGCUGCAAAUUGGAAGAAGGGCACAUCACAGGGAGUGUGACCCCGUACUCCAGACUGCCAGAUGAAACUCGGCACUGCAUCUCAGGGCUAUUUCACUGCUGUUGACUUGUUUUGGCUUUACAGAUUAGUUACAUUUUGCAACAGUGAUCUGAUAGCCUGACUCUGCAUUCCUCAUCUUUCUUUUGGUACAUACACCUUCGUAAGGCAGUUCAUUUAUUAAAUGCAGCUGUCCCUAGAAAGGGAUUGAUCUUUUCUAGGCUUCUCCUUAGAUAAAUGAUCAGGACAAAGAAAGGAUGGGAGGUUUUAUAAACUCAUGAAAAAGAAUUUUUUUUAAUUCAAAAUUUCAUUCUGGACAAUUCUGAAUAUGAUGUCUUUCUGGUUCUUUUUAGUUAAAUCAUAUAAAAAUGAUUUUGUGAAAAUGCUUUUGUGUCUCUUGCAUGCAACCCCCCUUCCAAAUGAAAGUCUAGAUGAGAAUAGGGGAUGAUUGGAAAAAAAGUUAUUAUUGCUGAAAAGGACACACAUAGUUUGUAAUAAUGGAAGGAAAAAAAAUCCCAGGACCUGGGGUGUGGGGUGGGGGAAGGGCAUAAUGAUCUCUGUUUUUUCACAAUGUUCCUGCAAGCUUUGCUGUCUUCCUAAGGGAAAACUCACUGUGUGCCUUUUCAAGCUGUGAGCCCUUUGAAUUCUAACUUCUUGUGGAUCCUAGCUUCAAACUUGACCAGCACCGACCAUGAGAUGGCAGGGGGGGUGAUCCCAAUACCAGCACUUUCCUGCAAAAUACCUGCCAAUGUUCAGGUUGAACUGAUGUUAUAGACACAUAAAACUGUUUGUAACUGGCUGCCUCAGGUAGUCCCUCUGAAACCAUGCACUGAACUGCAUGAUUUGGACUAGAUUGAGAAUCUAGAGUGGGAGGCCCCACAGUGGAAGGCCAUGUUGGGAGCUCUGUUGACCUGUCCUGCCUGGUAUGUCUGCUUGGCAUACCCCAAGAGUUGAAAAUUCUUUGUUUCCAUGCAUACCACAUGCAUCCUCUAGAAUUGUGUUUCUUGUUUGUGUGCCCUUACCUAUCAUAAAAUUGACUCAGCCCUGGAAGGCUUUCAGGUCAGCUUUAAUUUAUUGGCUAUGCCUGAAUUGAUGCCUUGGUCCAAGUUAAAAAAAAUUAAAGCAAACUUAAGGAUGAAACCAUUUGGCUUUCUCAGAUCUGUAUAGUUAAUGGGAUUUGUUUUCACUGGUUAAAUAAAGGACCUCUAAAUUUAGGGCAUAAUUGAGAUCAAUAUUGCAGGUUGCUUUUAAGGGCCUACUGAUAAUAGUUUUGCUGUAAAGAUGCCUUGGCAAAAAGCCUUCUUAUUCUUAGAAAGUCCUGCUUACAAGGUUGGCCUUUGGCUAGGUGUCUGAAAACUGUGAUUUGGAAGGGUUGCCACCAUUUGCAGGGCUGAGAAGAGUGACUCACUGUUCCUAAACUGUUUGUGCAACCAGUCUGGUUUAUGCUGUAUACCUGCUUUCCUCCUGGAGUCUGGAAUUUUGGUACAUGGGAGGCAGGGUGCCUACGUGACCAGCCCCUGAUAAAAACCUUGGGCACAGAGUCUCUAAUGAGCUUCCCUGCUAGACAACAUUUCACAGAUGUUGUCACAGCUGGUUGAUGUGGGAAAUAAGCAUGUCCUGUGUGACUGUACUGGGAGAAGACCCCUGGAAACUUGUGCAUGGUUUCUUCUAGACUUCGGCCCAUUGUGCCUUUUCCAUUUGCUGACUUUUGUUUUGUAUUCUUGCACUGUAAUAAAGCUUAGCUGUGAGUACAAC